AGUGGCGGACGGGUGAGUAACGCGUGGGCAACCUACCCCACACAGGGGGACAACAGUUGGAAACGACUGCUAAUACCGCAUAGGCGCACAGCUUCGCAUGAGGCAGUGUGGAAAACCGAGGUGGUGUGGGAUGGGCCCGCGUCUGAUUAGCUGGUUGGCGGGGUAACGGCCCACCAAGGCGACGAUCAGUAGCCGGCCUGAGAGGGUGGACGGCCACAUUGGGACUGAGACACGGCCCAAACUCCUACGGAAGGCAGCAG
RNAcentral lists this ribosomal RNA (260 nucleotides) under uncultured bacterium. RNAcentral's name for it is "partial 16S ribosomal RNA". It matches the Rfam family "Bacterial small subunit ribosomal RNA", at positions 94 to 354 of the family's 1533-position model. The record is from RNAcentral.